CAGCCUACGGGAGGCAGCAGUGAGGAAUAUUGGUCAAUGGGCGCGAGCCUGAACCAGCCAAGUAGCGUGAAGGAUGACUGCCCUACGGGUUGUAAACUUCUUUUAUAAAGGAAUAAAGUGAGGCACGUGUGCCUUUUUGUAUGUACUUUAUGAAUAAGGAUCGGCUAACUCCGUGUCAGCAGCCGCGGUAAUACGGAGGAUCAGAGCGUUAUCCGGCUUUAUUGGGUUUAAAGGGAGCGUAGAUGGGUUGUUAAGUCUGUUGUGAAAGCUUGCGGCUCAACCGUAAAAUUGCAAUUGUUACUGGA
Molecule: ribosomal RNA, 305 nt
Filed under: uncultured bacterium
Lineage: Bacteria
Description: bacterial SSU rRNA
Rfam family: Bacterial small subunit ribosomal RNA
Source: RNAcentral